AAAUUGAAGAGUUUGAUCAUGGCUCAGAUUGAACGCUGGCGGCAGGCCUAACACAUGCAAGUCGAGCGGCAGCGGGGAGUAGUUUACUACUUUGCCGGCGAGCGGCGGACGGGUGAGUAAUGUCUGGGAAACUGCCUGAUGGAGGGGGAUAACUACUGGAAACGGUAGCUAAUACCGCAUAACGUCUUCGGACCAAAGUGGGGGACCUUCGGGCCUCACGCCAUCGGAUGUGCCCAGAUGGGAUUAGCUAGUAGGUGGGGUAAUGGCUCACCUAGGCGACGAUCCCUAGCUGGUCUGAGAGGAUGACCAGCCACACUGGAACUGAGACACGGUCCAGACUCCUACGGGAGGCAGCAGUGGGGAAUAUUGCACAAUGGGCGCAAGCCUGAUGCAGCCAUGCCGCAUGUGUGAAGAAGGCCUUCGGGUUGUAAAGCACUUUCAGCGAGGAAGAAGGCAUAAAGGUUAAUAACCUUUGUGAUUGACGUUACUCGCAGAAGAAGCACCGGCUAAC
This 511-nucleotide ribosomal RNA is filed under the name Yersinia enterocolitica subsp. palearctica YE-P4. RNAcentral describes it as "bacterial SSU rRNA". It matches the Rfam family "Bacterial small subunit ribosomal RNA", at positions 1 to 501 of the family's 1533-position model. The record is from RNAcentral. Lineage: Bacteria; Pseudomonadati; Pseudomonadota; Gammaproteobacteria; Enterobacterales; Yersiniaceae.